Salvia splendens (bonfire salvia) is the source of this 455-nucleotide long non-coding RNA. RefSeq lists it as uncharacterized. The transcript is spliced from 2 exons. The record is from RefSeq and is a predicted model, not a curated record. Lineage: Eukaryota; Viridiplantae; Streptophyta; Magnoliopsida; Lamiales; Lamiaceae.
UAAGAAAUUAAGUAAAUGACUAAUGAGCACAAUUACUUCUUUCCAAAACCAUCGGCUACUCUUUCUCUCUCUAUUGUAUGUUCUCAGAACGGAGUAUUCUCAAAACUCCAUCUCUCUCCCUCUCGGCCCCUCUCCCUUCUCGAAACCCGAUCUUCCCCGAAGCAGCCCCAAAUUCCCAGUCAGAGAAGGAGGAUUCAACGUGAAGGGUGAAGAGAAGGGCUCUGAUGGCGGAAGGAAGAAUUUAGAGUCUUGGGCUCAAAAGGAAUUGGGAUUGGGCUAGGGAUAUUAUUUGAAUAAGUAAUUAGUUUGGGCUCAAGACCCUGUUAAAAUUUUAUUUAAAAAGUGUAGCCCACAAUUUAUUCUUUAUUAGAUUGGACUUGUAUCAAUUAUUUAAUUCAUCAGAUGUGUUGGAAUUUAGUCUAAUAAAUAAUCCUCAAGGAAAGGAUUUAAUUAAA